AUGGGCGGCAGGUCCGGGGAGGGGUCCUCCUCCACGUCGUCUAAACGGCGGCGGCGGGAGUGGGACUGCGACUGCGAUUGCGCCGCGCGUAGCAGGCCACGGCGGAAGCAGCACCUUUAUUUGGCGCUGGAUGACUCGACGGGCGGCUACAGCAUCUACAAGCUUGACGCCGACGACAUCUCGGACGACUCAGGAAGAGGAGGAGAGCGUGAGCUUCCCGGGCCCGCUGCCAUCCGGAUGAAUUCGCCGGCGUGCGGCCCCAUGGACUUCGCCGCUCUGGCCGCCGGCAUCUUCGCCGCCCCCGACCCACGUUAUUACCACUCCGGCGACCGCGACUACGCUCCCCCAACCAUCGUCUACAACACGUGGACCGCUGCCGUGGCCGCGGCCCCGCCCCUUCCGUCUGGGGUCCCUGCCUUGGGGGCCGCCAUGGCUGCCGGUGGAAAGCUAUACGCCUUGACAAAUCAGGUGCUCAGCUUGCAGGCCCUGUCGUCGUGGGCUCCCAUCGACGAUAGAUUGAGCGAUCAAGAGAGGGAUUGGAUAUGGAACACCGUGCCGUCGCCGCCUCCGUGCAGUGGGCUGGAUGUCGUCGCCUACGCGCUGCACCCGGACGGACGCACCAUCUUCAUGUCCACCGCCUCCGCUACCCAUUGCUUGGACACCAGCAGCGGCUCGUGGAAGGAGCUCGGGGACUGGGUGCUGCCAUUCAAAGGCCAGGCAUACUUCGACGCCUACCAGCUGGACGCGUGGGUCGGGAUCCAUCACAAGGAGGAAGGAAGGAUACGUCUGCUGCUGCCCUGUCGCCUCCCGCGGCGCCACCGCCGGCCGGCCGCCGGGUUGCAGGAUGCUCAAGGAGAAGCUGUUCCGCCACAACAAUGA
RNAcentral lists this ribosomal RNA (879 nucleotides) under Triticum aestivum (bread wheat). RNAcentral's name for it is "partial small subunit ribosomal RNA". The record is from RNAcentral. Lineage: Eukaryota; Viridiplantae; Streptophyta; Magnoliopsida; Poales; Poaceae.